AAAAAUAAAAAGGGUUUAGUCACCUAAAGGCAAAGCAUGAAGGAGAACACGAAUCAUAGUUGAGCUCAUAAGAUUGAGUUUUUCAAGCUUACUGGUUAGGUUGAGUCGGCCAUCUAGUGCCCAGCUUAGCUCCAAGGUGUUUACUGCUGAUGCAUAGGUAGUAGCGUAAUUCGAAGUGUAGUAAUUAAUUCCUAAGAAAUCCAAUGAUCCCUUGAGCAUUUCGGAUUCUGCUGGCGAGAAUUUGGGGAGUCGAUGCCCCACAAGAGAUUGCAUGGUCAUUGGGUACUCGCCAUAUGUGAUUGGAUGUAAAAACCUAAAAAAAAGAAUGAAAAAAUUCAUAUAAAAGUUAAUCAAUGAGUUGCCUACACAGUUCAUUCAUAAACAUUACUUUCGCUAGUUAAACAAUUUACCCUACCAAUGGUCAUAAUAUUAAUUUAUUGAUUCAUAGCAUAUAUUGUUAUUUUCCAAUUGUGCCAAUAUCAAUAAUGGGUUUUCAUUGUUACUAAAGAUCUAUCAAAAUGUGAAUGUCAUUUGGCAAAUCAUUGUAACACUUAAAGAUUCCAUGCAUGCAAUACUCUUAGUUUUUCUUAAUGCAUUCAAAAUCUAGUUAUUGUUACAAUCAAAAAAUGAUUACGUCAAUAUGAAUAGAAAAAAAUGAGGCAAUUAUCUAAAAAGGUCUCAACUACAUUUCUUGAUUUUUGAAUUAAUAUGAUCUUGAAGAUUACAAGUUGUAUAUAAAUUGGCACAUAUUCGAUAGUUAAAAAAAUAUACACUUUGAUGCCGAAGAACCCUAAUAUUUAACUAGGAUAGAUAGCAUUGAUGACAAAAAAUGUUGUCAUGUAAAUGUUUUAAAUGCUUUCACAUGGUUAUGGGUUUUCAAAAUAACCAUUUUUUUAUGACAUUGAUUGACAAUUGUCUUUUAAAUAUGGAAGAAGUUUUUUUCGUAAAGACAACUUCAAGAUUUAAUUGAAGUUGUCCCCUCCAAAUAACUUUCAACUAUAUUUGUUUAAAGUGUUGUAAAUUUAAAAAUAUUUUUUAAAUUAUAAUAUUUUAAAAGAAAAUUAAAUUACUAUAUUUUUCUCAAAAUCUCCCGCCAAGAAAUAGAGUACUUAACAGUUUUCACAUGCUCAAAAUCUUUUUGAAUUCAGAAAAAGGCCAAAAGAAAGUGGAAAUAAUUGAAGUGGAUUGAUUUGACCGUACUCAAUAAAGUGAGAAAUAGAUAAGUAGUUUUUGAAAGUUUUAAAAUUACUUAAAAUUAUUACCAUAUAAUAAUAACAAUAAUAAUAAAAUCUUUUCUCCAUGGAAAAAACUAAAAGAACAUAUUUUUUUUUAAAAGUUAUCUUUUUUGAAUUUUAGUUAUUUAUUUUGAUGAAAAACAAAAGUUAAUGCAUUUAUAUUAUAAAAAUAAAAUAUUUAUUAUUUUAUGUAGUUUCAUUUAUGACUUGGAUAAAAACCUUGUCAAUAAAAUAAUCGAUCUAGAUUUCGAACAUUUCAUAAAAUAAUUUGAAGAUAGAUAGAAUCGAUGGGCUGGAUUGACCAUUCUCUUUUUUUUUGUUCUUUUCUUCUUUUUUUAUUUUUUAUUUUCCCAAAACGUGUAACAUUGUCUUUCAAAAGGGUCACUAGCUUUUUUACUUUUUCUAAAGUGUUUUAUUUUCUAAUGUUUAAAGGAGGUUUGUGUGGGGCCCAUUUUUUUUAAAUAUUUCAAGCUUUAUUGCUUGUUUUUUUGUUUUGUUUCUUUGUUUUUUGGUUUUUUUUUUUUUUUUUUUUUUUUUUUGAGGUGGUUACCAUGGAGGAAAAUAUCGGGAUAUAUCGGCGAUAUAUCGCCGAUAUAUCUUGUAUCGGGAGGAGGCGACACGAUAUUUCAUGGAGAAAAAUCGGAGAGGAGAUAUUUCCGUAAAUAUCGCCAAAAUAUCGGCGAUAUAUCGGCGAUAUAUCGGUUCGGGGAGAUAUAUCGGAGAUUUUUUCAAAAAAUCUCCUCUGGUGGCAAAAAAUCGGAGAUAUAUCGAUGAUAUAUCGGAGAUAUAUCGGUGAUAUAUCGGUGAUAUAUCGGAGAUAUAUCGGUGAUUUUUUGGUGAUAUUUCCCCUCCUUUAUGCAACGUGAUCUGACGGCCCAGAUCACGCCCGUGUUGAUCCGACGGUCUAGAUGUGAUUCCAAUGGUAAUAUGGCGAUCCAACGGCCCGAUUGCUCCUAGUUUUUUAUCCAAUGGCUAAAAUUGAUUUUCAACAGUAAAUUAAUGUUCCAACGGCUAUUUUGGCCCAAAUUUCUUCUAUAAAUAACCCAAAUUUCAUCUAUUUCAUCCAUUUUUGCUUUCAUUCUUCAUUUGCUCUCUCAUUACUCCAAUUUUUAUUAAGGUUGCUCAAUUAUUUAAUUAUUUUAAGGUAUAUUUGUUUUAAAUUAUAAUUAAUUUUGUUUGCAAUUGUAAUUAAUUCAUGUAUUUUCAAUUAAUUAGUAUGUUUGCAAUAUGGAUGAUUUAAUGCUAUUUUUACAUUCAAUUGUAAUUAAUUUUUAUAUUUUUACUGAAUUAACUUAGGUUGAUUUGAUUAUUUAAUUAUAAAUUGAUAUGUUUAUUUUAGAUGAUUAUUUGUGAUUUAUUUUCACAUUUAAAAUUAAAUUAAACUAGUUAACUUAGCUAAAUUAUUUAAUUAAUUUAAUUAACAUGCUAAAUUAUUUAAUUAAUUUAAUUAACAUGAAAUAAUAUAUUUUGAAUAUGAAAUAUGUUUAUUUAAUGAAUUUAAUGUGUACAAAUUAUUGAUAUUUAAUGAAAUGAAAUAUUUUAUGUGACUUUAUAAUGAGAACAAUUACAAAAUUAACAUUUCUUAUAAAUCGACAUGAUGUAAUUACAUCUAAUAUCGCAAAUUAUAUCAUAUAUAUAUCAAAUUUUUCAAUAAAACAACAUUAAAAUGUCAAUUAUACUUCUAAUUAUAUUAUUAUGAGGUUUUUCUUGCAUUUUCAUGAGUUUUUAACAAUUUUAAGUCUACCAAUAUUUUUUUCCAGAAUAUCCGCCGAUAUAUCUCCGAUAUAUCCGAUAUAUCCGUAAAAUCGAAGUACCGAUAUAUCCGUGAUUACCGAUAUUUUCUUCCAUGGUGGUUACCAUGUAGUGAAGUCGCUUUCCAAUUUUCAAUUACAUACAAUAAGAUUCACAAGAAUACACAAUUAUUAUUUCCAAUUUAGAAUUUUUAUAUCAAAAUCAAGUAAUAGCAUUACAAAAUGAAUAAAAUAUAAAUAGAAAUGAUAAAAUCUAAAAUUAAUGAAAUAUCAAUAAAAUAAAUAAUAAAACUAUAUUUCACUCUUUAAUAUACAAACUAUCUUAAUAAAAAUAAAACACUGUAAUUUUGUAUUUAAUAAAAUAAAUUUUUUUAAUGUAUUUAUAUUUUAUAAUAUGAUAGUAUUAAAAAUAAAAAAUUUUAAGUUUUUAAAUCAUUUAUUUAUGUAUAAUUUUAAUAUGAAUCAUACAUUUAUGAUAUCAUCUUGCAUCAUGAUUCAAUCAUCAUUUUGUGAUCCGAUUAUUUAAUUUAUUUUGGAUAAGAAGAUAAACAAGCUUGAUUUCAAAACUUUUGGCUACUUUUGGCCAAUCAUGCAGAAAGCCAGCACUUCAUGUGGCCUACUGACAUCUUAUCGGAUCUGGAAUGAAUCCUACUGGGACCAUUGAAAUCCCAAGUUUUAAUAUCUCUGUUACGAUUUCUUAUAGCAACAGAUCAGCUACAGUUUUAUAAUAAAAUAUGGUUUUAGGGCAUGUGUGAAGCUUUGUGAAACACGAGGUGCGGCUGGCAGUAUGGAAAGUUUCAUCUUGAUGGAUUGGAUUCUCCUGUCAAAUACACAGUUCUACUCAAGCAAUUUAAUCAUAGAGGACUGCAUUUAUAUACUUUGAAAACUCUUUACGAGAUAAAUCAAUUUUAUGUACAUAACUACUAUGGAUUAACCUAUGCUUCAUUCUUGAAAAUUUUGAAAGAAAAUAAAUAAAUAAAUAAAAAGAAGAAAAAAAAAAUUGAAGUUAGUAGAUUAUUUUACAUGUUUUUUUUUAAUUAUUUUACCUAUUUUUUUCUUUUAUAUAUAAAGAAUAAGAAAUUUGAAAAUGUUUAAGGAUCUUUUCAGCAAUGUUUUCAAAAAGAUUUAUCAAAAAACAAAUUUUUAAAAUUGUUCUUAAAAUGGGUUUCAAUUGAUUUUAUGCAAAAAAAAAUUUGUUUGAAAACUUAUGUACAAUUUAAAAGUUUCUGAAGUAUUGUUUACGUCAUUUUCAAUUGUUGCUCAAUAUGUUUAUCGAAAAACAAUUGCAAACAUUUCAAAUCUUGUUUCUUCUUAUGACAUGAUAAAUAAUGUUUUCUAGGUACAUAAUAAACACCUCGAAAUAAUGUUUUUAGCUUAUAGCCAUGAAAAAAUGGAGAUUUAUGGUUGGUUGAGUCAUUCAAAGAAUCAUGUCAAUGGGAAAUUGUGUUCAUUGAGAGCUAUAAAUUGAAGUUAUAGAAGACACUUCAUGAAAUGAGAAAGACUCGAGGCUUUCUUCUUAUUAAUACUAAGUUAAGCAAGUCUCAUAUUACAACACAUAGGCAUUGUUUUCAUGGUGAAGAUCUUGAAGAUCCUCUUUUAGCACACUAAUACUAAUUAACGAUACCAAACUCUAGACGAUGGCAAAAACCACCUAGUAGCUGGGAUUACAUGUUUUAUUUUUGGAGGAACUUCUUGAACCAAUAAGCAGAAUGCUUUGGGUAUCGCUUUAAACCAUUUUUAUAAUCCACAUAACUGAGGCCAAAGCGAAAGGUGAAACCAGCAUCCCAUUCAAAGUCGUCAAGAAAAGACCAUGCAAAGUAUCCUUUCACAUUGACGCCCUCCCUGCCAAAAUUGCAUACAUACAUACACUAUAUUAGUAAUAAUAUUCUAGUACUUCGGAAAAAUCUCAAAAUUAGGAUGACCUAAUAUAUGUAUUACUGCAAGCUAGGCCUCAAUGUUAUAAAUUCCAACCUCAAUGAAGGCAAGAUUUGAUUUCAAGAAUAUAGUACAAUACCCUAAAAACUUCAAAACUAGACUUAGUGCAAUGUAAUAUCUUAGUUAAAUAUUUCAUAUUCUUAUUAUUAGAUUAUUAAUUUGACUUAAAAGCUUAACUUAUCACAUGUGAGCAUAAAUGAGAUAAACUUUAUAUAUUAUGCCAACGUGCUUAGGCUAAAACCCUAACACUCACAUAACCCAUGGAUGUUGCAUAUGUGAGCUAAAUGUAAUUACUCACUUGAUAGCUUUUGAGAGAUAGUACAAAUGUCCACGGUGGUAUGUUAUCCUCAAGGUAUCAUUAAGAUCUUCCUUCACAGGCACUGAAGCAUUAUUUGCAGUAGCCAAGCCUGCACAAGACCAUAUAACGGAUUAGUUUGAAUCAUAUUAAAAUGAAAUCAAAAUAUUGUUCCAUGACUUAAAAACAAUAUAAGUUGAUAAUCAAUUCAUUAAGCCUACCAUUCAUUCAUUAAGCCUACCAUUCUCUGUAAUGUAAAUAGUUGGAUUGUUGUAAUGUUCCUUGAUGUAAAGCAUAAGUUUUCUGAUUCCCCAUGGACAAAUGUAAAGCCAAUUCAACGGGGUCUACAAAAUCACACACCAUAGAUCACUUAGUAAUGAAUUCAUGAAUUCAUAUAGGUUAUGUCUCAUUCCCAAAACAUAUUAAAAAAAAAAUACUAAAAAAAUGUCAUUUUUUUUUUUCAUGUCUAAUUAUCCUUUGAAAAUAUCAAAGAAAUUAAAUAUAAUUAAAAUUAAUUAGAAAACUUAUAUUUUUUUAUUUUUAAAAUUUUUAUAUUGAAAAGUCAAAAUAAGUAAAAGGAACUUCAAGUAAUAUAUAAAAAUAAUUUAUUGGUUUUAUUUUUUAUUUUUUAUUUUUUUCCUUCUAUUUUUCCUCUAUUUUUUUUUAUAUUUUAUUUUUUUUGCGUCUUCCCUCAAAUUUUUUGAGGAACCAAACAUAACCUCAAAUGUCUAAGGACAGAGAUACUACCGGUUGGCCAAUGUUAACCCCAUCUUUCUCCGCUGUAGCCAUAGAAAAAAUAAAAAGGGUUUAGUCACCUAUAGGCAAAGCAUGAAGGAGAACAAGAAUCAUAGUUGAGCUCAUAGAUUGAGUUUUUCAAGCUUACUGGUUAGGUUGAGUCGGCCAUCUACUGCCCAGCUUUGCUCCAAGGUGUUUACUGCUGAUGCAUAGGUAGUGGCAUAAUUUGAAGUAUAGUAAUUAAUUCCUAAGAAAUCCAGUGAUCCCUUAAGCAUUUCGGAUUCUGCUGGCGAGAAUUUGGGGAGUCGAUGCCCCACAAGAGAUUGCAUGGUCAUUGGGUACUCGCCAUAUGUGAUUGGAU
Molecule: long non-coding RNA, 6312 nt
Filed under: Vitis vinifera (wine grape)
Lineage: Eukaryota; Viridiplantae; Streptophyta; Magnoliopsida; Vitales; Vitaceae
Description: long non-coding RNA (VVIN_LNC004393)
Source: RNAcentral